GUGAGGAAUCUUCCACAAUGGGCGAAAGCCUGAUGGAGCAACGCCGCGUGAAGGAUGAAGGUCUUCGGAUUGUAAACUUCUUUUAUGAGUGAAGAAUAUGACGGUAACUCAUGAAUAAGCACCGGCUAACUACGUGCCAGCAGCCGCGGUCAUACGUAGGGUGCAAGCAUUAUCCGGAGUGACUGGGCGUAAAGAGUUGCGUAGGCGGUUAUGUAAGGGAAUAGUGAAACCUGGUGGCUCAACCACACAGACUAUUAUUCGAACUGCAUAACUCGAGAAUGGUAGAGGUAACUGGAAUUUCUUGUGUAGGAGUGAAAUCCGUAGAUAUAAGAAGGAACACCAAUGGCGUAGGCAGGUUACUGGGCCAUUUCUGACGCUAAGGCACGAAAGCGUGGGGAGCGAACCGGAUUAGAUACCCCUGUAGUCC
This 427-nucleotide ribosomal RNA is filed under the name uncultured bacterium. RNAcentral describes it as "partial 16S ribosomal RNA". It matches the Rfam family "Bacterial small subunit ribosomal RNA", at positions 354 to 796 of the family's 1533-position model. The record is from RNAcentral.